This 705-nucleotide long non-coding RNA is filed under the name Nicotiana benthamiana. RNAcentral's name for it is "long non-coding RNA (NBEN_LNC014342)". The record is from RNAcentral. Lineage: Eukaryota; Viridiplantae; Streptophyta; Magnoliopsida; Solanales; Solanaceae.
UCUGAGUGUAUCCGAGUGUAUUUUCCUCUAUUCAACACUCUGGAAAGACUUUGUGAUGAUUUUGGACGGUUGAUUUUGAUGACCUAUCGGCUUCUAGGGUUUUUGACGAUUUAACCUACGGUUUUACCGCAUUCUGGUGGCCUGAUUGUCAUUUUCUGGACGUUUUGGGUGUGUUUCCGACGUUCUUCAUCUGAUCUCCGGUAAAGUUUGUCUUUUAAAAAAUUACACCUAGGGUUUGAUACCUAGGGUUUCUCUGUGUUUGAAGGCCGAUCUUCUCCGGUUGCGAAGAAGGAGGUUCUUUUCAAAAAUUACACCUAGGGUUUGAUACCUAGGGCUUCUCUGUGUUUGAAGGCCGAUCUUCUCCGGUUGCGAAGAAGGAGGGUAACUCUGUGUCCUUCUCCUUGAUUUUAUGUGUGCUUAUUUGACUUUGUAAUUGUGAGCAUCUGGUGGUAUCUGUGAAUACUUGUGAAUACUUGACCUAGUUGUUGUUUGUCUGUUGGUUACUGUGUUUGUACAUUUGUUCUGGCAGUAUCUUGUUUGUUGACAAGUUAUUUGUCUAAGCCGGUCUAUUAUGGCUUCUAGCACAAGUACUGGUGCUUCUACUCCUGUAGAUUCCUCUAGUCCACUCUUUCUGUACUCGUCCGAUCUCCCUGGAAUUCCACUCGUUCCCAUCCCAUUCUCGGGUACUGGUUAUGAGGGCUGGAG